This is a long non-coding RNA of Hypanus sabinus (Atlantic stingray), 524 nucleotides long. RefSeq lists it as uncharacterized. The record is from RefSeq and is a predicted model, not a curated record. The transcript is spliced from 3 exons. Lineage: Eukaryota; Metazoa; Chordata; Chondrichthyes; Myliobatiformes; Dasyatidae.
UCUCUCAGCUAGGAUCAGCAGUAACAUCAUGUCAAUACUUCGAAGAAAUCAGUUUUUAAGGAAGUCUCUCCUUACUGACUGUAUAAAUCAUUUGGACUUUCGAAUUUACAAUUUUAAGAACUAUUCCAGAGUUUGGCUGUUUGCUAAAUUGCCGUAUAGCAGUUAACUUCCGGUUAGGUGGAAAGGACCCUACCAAGUGCUGCUUGUUGACUGCACUGCCGUUAAACUACAAGGAAAAAGAGGACUGGGUUCAUGCCACCCACUGUAAGAGUUACUCACCUCUCGACCCACCGUGCCCAAUUGACAGCCACAGGAAACCGACAUCUGAACCCUGUGCACAAGACAAGCAAUGCAGCCCUGAAACCCGCUGAUGCCAGAGGUGGAAAGGUCUGUAUACUGUGUUAUUGACCACCUGAACUGCCCUCAAGGUAGACGGUAAAGACGACUGGGUCCAUGCGGCAAGGUGUAAACGGCACCAUCCACCGGAAAUGAAGCCAAACUAAAUCUGAAACCAUCUCACUGAA